AGCUACAAAUUUUAUAUUAAGCUUCCCUGAAACACAUCACAAAUUAAGAGCGCUUCAAAUUCCUCCUCCACCACCUCAGUCUCCGCCUCCUCCAAUCCAUGCUUUCUGGAAGAGAAAGUCCAGUACGACUAAUCGGAAAGCGCAGCAAAAUCCUCCCAGAUCGUCAAUCCUUUCUUCUUACACCUAAUUUUCAAACCCUAAUUUCAUUUGUGAAUCCGACAAACAAAACCCUAAUUUUUUGUUUUCAUUUCCCUUUUCAUAGUUAUAGAGAUGAAAUAAUGCAUUAUCAUCUCAUCAAGUCGAUUUAUGGAGCAGAGGUUUGUGAAUCCAGUAAAUUGGAUGUUCAUGUUUCUGUUGAGAUCGGGGGAUCAGAUUCUUCGUAUGUUAUUUGUCCUGUUUGUGGAAAUGCCGUUCAAGGAUCAGAUCAAAAUAAAUUUGAAUUCUCAUUUAGAUAGGAUUGGUUUUCAUUGCUAAAUGUUAUUUUGGAGAUUACAAAGUGUUUGAUUAAAUUACAGUUUCAGUUUAGUUUCAAAAAGCUCAGUAUUCAGUUGGAUGAAUCGAAAUAAAAACUUAGGGAUAUAUACUGUAAUGUUACCAAAGGAUGAGAAAGUUGAGGGAAAUGCCAUCAUUAAAUUGCCUGUGAUUGAAGAUAAUGACGACGUUCAUUAUGUGCUGCCACUGAAAUCAUUUCCCAAGUUAGAAAAUCAUGAAGAGGUUAAGGUGGAAAAUUUGUCGGGUGAUGACAUUUUUGAGGAGAAAGAUGUGAAUGUGACUCAUCUGUACGUAAUGUUAUGUUGCCAAAGCAUGAAGUAGAUGGAUCUACUGAUUACUUCGGUGGCAAUUUUCCAGAUUUUCGUUGCAUUAGAUUUGGUGAGCAAGUUGAUUAAAGAAAGGGAGUACCGUCUCUUUUGUAAGAGACCAGUAUAAUGUUAAAGAUCCCAAUGCAGCAAAGGUGCUAUCUACUGAUUCUGGAUGCGAAAAAGUGGUUGGUCAUGUCCCCUGGGAGUUGGCUAGGUAUCUCUCCCCUAUAAUCGAGAAGGACUGCUUGAUAAUUGAGUUCAGGUUGUAUGUCAAAGAAUGACUAGAAUUGAUGUAAUAGAAUCCAACAAUCAUGGAGGCUCUGACUCUUGCCGGGAAGACGUUCUUCAUGUGGUUGAGUGCGCAAAAAACUUCAUCCCUGGCAAGAGAAAGUACCAGCAGAAUUUUCGUCUUUUGAUUCAAGAAGUUAUGAGGAGUCAUUAGCACCUUUUUAUAGGCGAAGAAAAACUUUAUGUAGGUAGAUGGUAUAGUAUGUGAUUAGGUUCAUCUAUUACCUUGUUAACCUGUGAGUUGUGUGUUUAUUCCACAGGAUCAUUUAAAUCACUCUCGGACCGUGGUCGGGAUAUCUUUGUUCGACUUUUUACUCUAAAAGGACCAUUGUUCCGGGUGGCUAAUAUUUCCUACCAAGAAGUUACAGAUCCUCAACAGGCUAUAGAGGGACUCUGUUGCAAGUCUGAGCAUGACGGCUUUAUGCAGUUUGCUUGGAACUAUAUACUUUGCAGUCUUAAUUUUUCUUCUCUUGCAGCAAGGUGUUAUGGCUGUUCGUUCGAGUCCUUGAAGGAACCAGAUGGGUACAUAUAAAGGAGGUUCUAGAUGCGCUCAUUGUUUCUGAGCUACGAGACAUUUGUAGUUUGUCACACUCCAAGGUGCAUAUAUGUAUUUAUGCUCAAAUAGUCAUGGCCAUUACAUUUUUAGGCAUCUUCAAGAUCAUACUCCCUCUAUUCCAGUUUAGUAGAUUGUUUAGGUUUAUUUUUUGGCCCAUAUGACUUCAUAGUUUUGUUAUUUUGUCACAGAACUCCCAACUUUAGCAUCAAACUAAAAUCAUACAAAAUAUUUUUAGAAAAUUGCUUGGCAUUCUUAACCUGGAUCCAUAUACCCCCUUCCCUAGCAGAGCUUUAGCAUAUGGAUCUUUGUAAUGCUUAAUAAGCAUGGAUAUCAUUUGCAUAUUUGACCGAGUUGUGAACAAUAAACGUAAUUUUUAUUUAUUUUCGUUAUCGCUUUCUUUCGUUUAGCAGUAUUGACAGUCUUGUGGUUGAGACAAGUUUCAAGGCUUUGAUCUUAUAUUUCUUUUAAUUCUAUGUGGUAUAUCCGCUAUUUGGAGCAUUACAAUUGGCUACUCCUAAAUAUGGAUUCUGCCAUAGUAAAUCUCCUAUAUUGGUGGCUUCUGAUGACUGCAAAGUAACAGAUAUUCUUUGCGGACAGAUACGGGUCAAAAAUUAGUUUAACAUUUCUUGAAACUUAAUAUAGUAUUUCUCUGUUAAGAUACAUCUGUAUAAUGUGUCUGCUUCAACGUUGUGAUGCUUGGGUUUUGACACAAUGAUGUGAUACACGAAUAUCCUUGUAAGGUGGAUAAGGAGACGUCUCUUCAUAUUUGUUUAGGUCAAAUCACACAAGAUAGAUGUAUUGUUCGCUCUAAGCGGACAUAUCCGCUAUUUGGAGCAUUACGGAUGGCUACUCCUAACUUCGGAUCCUGCCUCAGUAAAUCUCCUACAUUGCUGGCUUCUGAUGACUGCAUAGUAACAGACAUUCUUUGCGGACAGAUACGGGUCAAACAUUCCUUAGAAUUAGUCUUCCUCUGUUAAGAUACAUUUGUGCGAUACAGCUGUUUCUAUGUUAUGGUACUCUAGCUUUCAUUCUAAGCUUAGGAAAGGCGUCUGUUCUAGCAGAAAGCUGGAAUUUAUUUCAUUGUUGUUCGCUUCAUAUGAAGAUGGUAAAUGGUAUAACAUGCGAUUGAUUACACCUUCUUUUAAUCUUCCUUUUGACAUUUUUUUUGCUCUGGAUUCUGAUGACUGCAAAGUAACAGACAUUCUUUGCUG
This is a long non-coding RNA of Papaver somniferum (opium poppy), 2855 nucleotides long. RefSeq lists it as uncharacterized. Lineage: Eukaryota; Viridiplantae; Streptophyta; Magnoliopsida; Ranunculales; Papaveraceae. The transcript has 4 exons. The record is from RefSeq and is a predicted model, not a curated record.